RNAcentral lists this ribosomal RNA (460 nucleotides) under uncultured bacterium. RNAcentral describes it as "partial 16S ribosomal RNA". It matches the Rfam family "Bacterial small subunit ribosomal RNA", at positions 338 to 795 of the family's 1533-position model. The record is from RNAcentral.
CCUACGGGAGGCAGCAGUGAGGAAUAUUGGUCAAUGGACGAGAGUCUGAACCAGCCAAGUAGCGUGAAGGAUGACUGCCCUAUGGGUUGUAAACUUCUUUUAUAUGGGAAUAAAAUGUUCCACGUGUGGGAUUUUGUAUGUACCAUAUGAAUAAGGAUCGGCUAACUCCGUGCCAGCAGCCGCGGUAAUACGGAGGAUCCGAGCGUUAUCCGGAUUUAUUGGGUUUAAAGGGAGCGUAGGUGGAAUGUUAAGUCAGUUGUGAAAGUUUGCGGCUCAACCGUAAAAUUGCAGUUGAAACUGGCAGUCUUGAGUACAGUAGAGGUGGGCGGAAUGCGUGGUGUAGCGGUGAAAUGCUUAGAUAUCACGAAGAACUCCGAUUGCGAAGGCAGUUCACUGGACUGCAACUGACACUGAGGCUCGAAAGUGUGGGUAUCAAACAGGAUUAGAUACCCGGGUAGUC